RNAcentral lists this transfer RNA (69 nucleotides) under Ictidomys tridecemlineatus (thirteen-lined ground squirrel). RNAcentral's name for it is "Spermophilus tridecemlineatus (thirteen-lined ground squirrel) tRNA". It matches the Rfam family "tRNA". Rfam says of the family: Transfer RNA (tRNA) molecules are approximately 80 nucleotides in length. Their secondary structure includes four short double-helical elements and three loops (D, anti-codon, and T loops). Further hydrogen bonds mediate the characteristic L-shaped molecular structure. tRNAs have two regions of fundamental functional importance: the anti-codon, which is responsible for specific mRNA codon recognition, and the 3' end, to which the tRNAs corresponding amino acid is attached (by aminoacyl-tRNA synthetases). tRNAs cope with the degeneracy of the genetic code in two manners: having more than one tRNA (with a specific anti-codon) for a particular amino acid; and 'wobble' base-pairing, i.e. permitting non-standard base-pairing at the 3rd anti-codon position. Lineage: Eukaryota; Metazoa; Chordata; Mammalia; Rodentia; Sciuridae. The record is from Rfam by way of RNAcentral.
GGGGUUGUAGCUCAGUGAUAGAGUGCUUGCCUCGCAUGCAUGAGUACCUGGGUUUGAUCCUCAGCACCA